UACGUAGGGACCGAGCGUUGUCCGGAAUCAUUGGGCGUAAAGAGCGUGUAGGCGGCCACUUAAGUCCUGCGUGAAAUCUUGCGGCUCAACCGCAAGCGGUCGUGGGAAACUGGGUGGCUAGAGUGCGGGAGAGGAGAGUGGAAUUCCUGGUGUAGCGGUGGAAUGCGCAGAUAUCAGGAGGAACACCAAUAGCGAAGGCAGCUCGCUGGGACGGUAUUGACGCUAAGGCGCGAAAGCGUGGGGAGCAAACGGG
Molecule: ribosomal RNA, 253 nt
Filed under: uncultured bacterium
Lineage: Bacteria
Description: partial 16S ribosomal RNA
Rfam family: Bacterial small subunit ribosomal RNA
Source: RNAcentral